CCAGGAGCUUGCUCCUGGGUGAGAGUGGCGAACGGGUGAGUAAUGCGUGACCGACCUGCCCCAUACACCGGAAUAGCUCCUGGAAACGGGUGGUAAUGCCGGAUGCUCCAGUUGAAUGCAUGUCCCUCUGGGAAAGCUUCAUCGGUAUGGGAUGGGGUCGCGUCCUAUCAGCUUGAUGGCGGGGUAACGGCCCACCAUGGCUUCGACGGGUAGCCGGCCUGAGAGGGCGACCGGCCACAUUGGGACUGAGAUACGGCCCAGACUCCUACGGGAGGCAGCAGUGGGGAAUAUUGCACAAUGGGCGCAAGCCUGAUGCAGCGACGCCGCGUGCGGGAUGACGGCCUUCGGGUUGUAAACCGCUUUUGACUGGGAGCAAGCCCUUCGGGGUGAGUGUACCUUUCGAAUAAGCACCGGCUAACUACGUGCCAGCAGCCGCGGUAAUACGUAGGGUGCAAGCGUUAUCCGGAAUUAUUGGGCGUAAAGGGCUCGUAGGCGGUUCGUCGCGUCCGGUGUGAAAGUCCAUCGCUUAACGGUGGAUCCGCGCCGGGUACGGGCGGGCUUGAGUGCGGUAGGGGAGACUGGAAUUCCCGGUGUAACGGUGGAAUGUGUAGAUAUCGGGAAGAACACCAAUGGCGAAGGCAGGUCUCUGGGCCGUCACUGACGCUGAGGAGCGAAAGCGUGGGGAGCGAACAGGAUUAGAUACCCUGGUAGUCCACGCCGUAAACGGUGGAUGCUGGAUGUGGGGACCAUUCCACGGUCUCCGUGUCGGAGCCAACGCGUUAAGCAUCCCGCCUGGGGAGUACGGCCGCAAGGCUAAAACUCAAAGAAAUUGACGGGGGCCCGCACAAGCGGCGGA
Molecule: ribosomal RNA, 856 nt
Filed under: Bifidobacterium adolescentis
Lineage: Bacteria; Bacillati; Actinomycetota; Actinomycetes; Bifidobacteriales; Bifidobacteriaceae
Description: bacterial SSU rRNA
Rfam family: Bacterial small subunit ribosomal RNA
Source: RNAcentral